This 801-nucleotide unclassified non-coding RNA is filed under the name Hevea brasiliensis (rubber tree). Lineage: Eukaryota; Viridiplantae; Streptophyta; Magnoliopsida; Malpighiales; Euphorbiaceae. The record is from RNAcentral.
AGGUGCAUUGCUGGGAGGCAAUGUGUGUAGGAGUCAAUUUUCGAGGCAAACGAGCCAAUAGGGCGAGCCGGAGAGUUGCCGGGAGGAGCAAGCCAAAAUGAGGUUAAGUUUGUCUACUACAUGACAAAAUGAGGUUCAAAUGGGCUGGAGGUAUGUUGGGCGUGCUGGGCUGACGGGCAGCACAAAAUGAGCUUCACGGGCCAAGUCUGGCACACAAUGGGUCUGCUGGCCGUGCAGGCCACAUGGGAGUAGCAGGCGGACAGAGAAGGCGUGAAACAAGGUUCAUCGCGCAGGAACAAGGGUGCGAGAGCACUGGGCGCGUGUGAGCGAGGUUCAAAUUGGCAGGCAAGAGUGCCAAGUGAGCUCAGGAAGCCAAGGCGCACGAGGUUCAAAUGGACGCAGGACGCGCGGGCGCACAUAGGACGCCAGGCACGGGCAAGGUUCAAACAGCGCUUGGGAGCUGCAAGGCGCACGCAAGAAGCGACAAGUGCACGCGGGAUGGGCGCUAGCCCACCCAAACAAGGUUCUUUCUACACAGGAGCUCGCCAAAAACGAGGUUCACUCGUCAGAAUUGCCAUUCCCGCCCAGUUUUAAAUUUUGGCCGCCAAACACACUCCAAGUCAGCAAAAAGGCUAUAAAUAGGGGUGUUUGGCCUUCAUUUGGAAAAGUUGGACUUAGUUGGUCACUCCAAAGGUUCUUUGUACACUUAGCCCACUUUAUUGCUCUCUUAUAAGCUCUAGGCUUGUAUUAGCCAAUUUUAGUGAGUAAUAAAGUUUCCUUCCCUUUGCCAAACUCUUUCCA